Molecule: long non-coding RNA, 108 nt
Organism: Sapajus apella (tufted capuchin)
Lineage: Eukaryota; Metazoa; Chordata; Mammalia; Primates; Cebidae
Exons: 3
Source: RefSeq, a predicted model, not a curated record
GAGAUGGAAGACUUAAGGAAUUAAAUAACGGUAACUAGUUCUCCUUUUGAUUAUCAUGUAAUUAAAAUAUAUGAAAACAUAGUUUCUGUCAUUUAGUAAUGCUGACAG